RNAcentral lists this ribosomal RNA (450 nucleotides) under uncultured bacterium. RNAcentral's name for it is "partial 16S ribosomal RNA". It matches the Rfam family "Bacterial small subunit ribosomal RNA", at positions 354 to 796 of the family's 1533-position model. The record is from RNAcentral.
GUGGGGAAUUUUGGACAAUGGGGGCAACCCUGAUCCAGCCAUCCCGCGUGUGCGACGAAGGCCUUCGGGUUGUAAAGCACUUUUGGCAGGAAAGAAAUUGCCUGGGUUAAUACCCUGGGUAGAUGACGGUACCUGCAGAAUAAGCACCGGCUAACUACGUGCCAGCAGCCGCGGUAAUACGUAGGGUGCAAGCGUUAAUCGGAAUUACUGGGCGUAAAGCGUGCGCAGGCGGUUCGGAAAGAAAGAUGUGAAAUCCCAGGGCUUAACCUUGGAACUGCAUUUUUAACUACCGGGCUAGAGUGCGUCAGAGGGGGGUGGAAUUCCGCGUGUAGCAGUGAAAUGCGUAGAUAUGCGGAGGAACACCGAUGGCGAAGGCAGCCCCCUGGGAUGACACUGACGCUCAUGCACGAAAGCGUGGGGAGCAAACAGGAUUAGAAACCCCGGUAGUCC